CAAUAGCGUAUAUUAAAGUUGUUGCAGUUAAAAAGCUCGUAGUUGAAAUUGAGGACAUGGGAGAUUGUGCACCUGAAAGGGGGCGACGAUUUUGACAGGUCCAGGAAUGUAGCGACGCCAUGUGCACUUUGGUGUGUGUGUGGUAGAGGUACAGGAUCACUUUGAAAAAAUUAGAGUGUUUAAAGCAGGCAUAGCUUGAAUACAUUAGCAUGGAAUGAUAGAAUAGGACUUUCGCUCUAUUUUGUUGGUUUCUAGAGAGAAGGAAAUGAUAAAGAGGAACAGUCGGGGGCACUCGUAUUUCAUUGUCAGAGGUGAAAUUCUUGGAUUUAUGAAAGACGAACUUUUGCGAAAGCAUUUGCCAAGGAUGUUUUCAUUAA
RNAcentral lists this ribosomal RNA (377 nucleotides) under uncultured eukaryote. RNAcentral describes it as "partial 18S ribosomal RNA". It matches the Rfam family "Eukaryotic small subunit ribosomal RNA", at positions 592 to 976 of the family's 1831-position model. The record is from RNAcentral.